ACCAAAUGUCAUUUUCUUGUACAGAAGCAAAUCGAUCUUCCAUCUUACCGAAGUAUCGGAUCCUUGCUUCAAAUCAGCUCAGCACGGGACAGAUGCUGGGGAAGCUGCCCAUCAGAAGCCUCGCUUGUGAACAAGAACGCACGGACUUGUUCAAAUCCUCCUAAUUACUCCUCUAAUCCAGUCCACAAAUGAUUGGAUAAAGUUUCACCAUCUGUAGUCAGAGACUGACGGAUUCUGGACUCUUGUGCGGCAAACUCCAGUUGGUUCUACUGAGGUAGGUCCUAGGUGUUCUUCAAUCUUGAACUGCUUACCUGGCCAAAACAAAAAAAACAAAAACAAAAAAACUGAAAGUGAAAGGUGCUGUGGAAGGAAGGCAAGAUGGGGAAAGCAAGCAAGAAAGAAAGAGAGACUCUUCAAGUCCUAAUGUCUAUUUAAUUGUGUGCUGAUUAAAGAAUUUCAUGGUGGAUUUGCUGUGCCCUAAGUGGCAGAUUUGGAUUGGAUCUUGGGGCAAAAGCGAAGCAAAGGUCAAAUACUCUCAUCGUCUAUGUCUAUAUCCUGAUCCUGUUGAAGAGUCCAGCUUUGUUGGCCGGCAAACAGGAGGUGAAAGAGGGGAACGAAGGGUUAGGUGGCAAAGGAGGUAGUAGAGAAGUGAAAUCAGUCCUCAUCUCUUGCCAAAUUCAAUCUUGUUGGAGCCAUCUUUACCCUUAUUGGUGGUGCACAAGAUCCUGAUUCCCUGCCAUGGUUGACUGAAAUUGAAGGUCUGGAGCUAGUCGGAGGCUGCUUCGGUUCUUGCAUUCCGAAGGCACCGGCAAGAUAAGAGGGAAGGUGUUUGUGGAAUUGUCUCCUUGAAGGCAGCUGAGGAAACGGAGCAAGGAUGACGAUGCCGUGGGGGGUCGCGGCCAGCAUCGUGGACAUGGUGUGGGCGGUGCUCGCCGGCUGGGUGUCCACGUGCCUCGUGAUCGCCAACGAGGUCGCCCGCGCUAUGCGCAGCGGCGAGAUCGGCCCGUUUGUCGUCGGCUGAGUUCUCCGGCGUAGUUAAGUCAUUCGUUCCUGCAGGUUGGUGAUCAGCUCAGAUAGUUUUUUCCAUUCCGGUACAUUUGAUACACACUGCAUUUACUGUACAGAGACCAUAGAUUGCUUGGCUUCAGCCUUCAGAACAGAAGUGACAGAAUCUAGAGGAUCAUUUACUUUUGUUUCUAGAAUUUUUGUGUUCUGUGGUAAAUGUUGUAAAGCGUUGGCACAACCACAUACGAACAUCCAUGUUAUGUACUCUCCCCCUCUUCAGUGGAAUGGAUCAAGAGUUAGAUCUCUAAUAAUGCAGAAUUGAACUUGGCAUA
This is an RNA transcript of Phragmites australis (common reed), 1337 nucleotides long. RefSeq lists it as uncharacterized. NCBI's taxonomy places the organism in Eukaryota, Viridiplantae, Streptophyta, Magnoliopsida, Poales, Poaceae. The record is from RefSeq and is a predicted model, not a curated record. The transcript has 3 exons.